This 497-nucleotide ribosomal RNA is filed under the name uncultured bacterium. Its description in RNAcentral is "partial 16S ribosomal RNA". It matches the Rfam family "Bacterial small subunit ribosomal RNA", at positions 28 to 507 of the family's 1533-position model. The record is from RNAcentral.
GAUGAACGCUGGCGGCGUGCCUAAUACAUGCAAGUCGAGCGAACGGACGAGAAGCUUGCUUCUCUGAUGUUAGCGGCGGACGGGUGAGUAACACGUGGAUAACCUACCUAUAAGACUGGGAUAACUUCGGGAAACCGGAGCUAAUACCGGAUAAUAUUUUGAACCGCAUGGUUCAAAAGUGAAAGACGGUCUUGCCGUCACUUAUAGAUGGAUCCGCGCUGCAUUAGCUAGUUGGUAAGGUAACGGCUUACCAAGGCAACGAUGCAUAGCCGACCUGAGAGGGUGAUCGGCCACACUGGAACUGAGACACGGUCCAGACUCCUACGGGAGGCAGCAGUAGGGAAUCUUCCGCAAUGGGCGAAAGCCUGACGGAGCAACGCCGCGUGAGUGAUGAAGGUCUUCGGAUCGUAAAACUCUGUUAUUAGGGAAGAACAUAUGUGUAAGUAACUGUGCACAUCUUGACGGUACCUAAUCAGAAAGCCGCGGCUAACUACGUG